UACGUAGGGGUCUAGCGUUGUCCGGAAUUAUUGGGCGUAAAGAGCUCGUAGGCGGUUCGGCAAGUCGGAUGUGAAAUCUCCACGCUUAACGUGGAGGGGCCAUUCGAAACUGCCGUGACUCGAGUCCGGUAGGGGAGUGCGGAAUUCCCGGUGUAGCGGUGAAAUGCGCAGAUAUCGGAAGGAACACCAGUGGCGAAAGCGGCUUCCUGGUCCAGCACCGACGUUCAGGCACGAAAGCGUGGGGAGCAAACAGG
Molecule: ribosomal RNA, 254 nt
Filed under: uncultured bacterium
Lineage: Bacteria
Description: partial 16S ribosomal RNA
Rfam family: Bacterial small subunit ribosomal RNA
Source: RNAcentral